GACGAACGCUGGCGGCGUGCCUAAUACAUGCAAGUCGAGCGAAUCAUUAGGAGCUUGCUCCUGAUGGUUAGCGGCGGACGGGUGAGUAACACGUGGGCAACCUGCCUAUAAGACUGGGAUAACUUCGGGAAACCGGAGCUAAUACCGGAUAAUCCUUUUCCACACAUGUGGGAAAGCUGAAAGACGGUUUCGGCUGUCACUUAUAGAUGGGCCCGCGGCGCAUUAGCUAGUUGGUGAGGUAAUGGCUCACCAAGGCGACGAUGCGUAGCCGACCUGAGAGGGUGAUCGGCCACACUGGGACUGAGACACGGCCCAGACUCCUACGGGAGGCAGCAGUAGGGAAUCUUCCGCAAUGGACGAAAGUCUGACGGAGCAACGCCGCGUGAACGAUGAAGGCCUUCGGGUCGUAAAGUUCUGUUGUUAGGGAAGAACAAGUAUCGGAGUAACUGCCGGUACCUUGACGGUACCUAACCAGAAAGCCACGGCUAACUACGUGCCAGCAGCCGCCGUAA
RNAcentral lists this ribosomal RNA (512 nucleotides) under uncultured bacterium. Its description in RNAcentral is "partial 16S ribosomal RNA". It matches the Rfam family "Bacterial small subunit ribosomal RNA", at positions 28 to 523 of the family's 1533-position model. The record is from RNAcentral.